Molecule: ribosomal RNA, 787 nt
Filed under: uncultured archaeon
Lineage: Archaea
Description: bacterial SSU rRNA
Rfam family: Archaeal small subunit ribosomal RNA
Source: RNAcentral
CGAUAGGGGACCUCGAGUGCCAGGUUACAAAUCUGGCUGUCGUGAUGCCUAAAAAGCAUUGCAUAGCAAGGGCCGGGCAAGACCGGUGCCAGCCGCCGCGGUAACACCGGCGGCUCGAGUGGUAACCGUUAUUAUUGGGUCUAAAGGGUCUGUAGCCGGCCGGGUAAGUCUCUUGGGAAAUCUGGCAGCUUAACUGUCAGGCUUUCAGGAGAUACUGUCUGGCUCGAGGCCGGGAGAGGUGAGAGGUACUUCAGGGGUAGGGGUGAAAUCUUGUAAUCCUUGAAGGACCACCAGUGGCGAAGGCGUCUCACCAGAACGGACCUGACGGCAAGGGACGAAAGCUAGGGGCACGAACCGGAUUAGAUACCCGGGUAGUCCUAGCCGUAAACGAUACUCGCUAGGUGUCGACAACGGUGCGACCGUUGUCGGUGCCGUAGGGAAGCCGUGAAGCGAGCCACCUGGGAAGUACGGCCGCAAGGCUGAAACUUAAAGGAAUUGGCAGGGGAGCACCACAACGGGUGGAGCUUGCGGUUUAAUUGGAUUCAACGCCGGAAAUCUUACCGGGACCGACGGCAAUAUGAAGGCCAGGCUGAAGACUUUGCCGGAUUAGCUGAGAGGUGGUGCAUGGCCGUCGUCAGUUCGUACUGUGAAGCAUCCUGUUAAGUCAGGCAACGAGCGAGACCCACGCCCACAGUUGCCAGCGUACUCUCCGGAGUGACGGGUACACUGUGGGGACCGCCGCUGCUAAAGCGGAGGAAGGAAUGGGCAACGGUAGGUCAGUAUGCCC